Gadus morhua (Atlantic cod) is the source of this 82-nucleotide non-coding RNA. Lineage: Eukaryota; Metazoa; Chordata; Actinopteri; Gadiformes; Gadidae. The record is from the annotation of a RefSeq genome assembly.
GCUGUGAUGGCCGAGUGGUUAAGGCGUUGGACUUGAAAUCCAAUGGGUGUUACACGCGCAGGUUCAAAUCUUGCUCACAGCG